Molecule: ribosomal RNA, 497 nt
Filed under: uncultured bacterium
Lineage: Bacteria
Description: partial 16S ribosomal RNA
Rfam family: Bacterial small subunit ribosomal RNA
Source: RNAcentral
GAUGAACGCUGGCGGCGUGCCUAAUACAUGCAAGUCGAGCGAACAGACGAGGAGCUUGCUCCUCUGACGUUAGCGGCGGACGGGUGAGUAACACGUGGAUAACCUACCUAUAAGACUGGGAUAACUUCGGGAAACCGGAGCUAAUACCGGAUAAUAUAUUGAACCGCAUGGUUCAAUAGUGAAAGACGGUUUUGCUGUCACUUAUAGAUGGAUCCGCGCCGCAUUAGCUAGUUGGUAAGGUAACGGCUUACCAAGGCUACGAUGCGUAGCCGACCUGAGAGGGUGAUCGGCCACACUGGAACUGAGACACGGUCCAGACUCCUACGGGAGGCAGCAGUAGGGAAUCUUCCGCGAUGGGCGAAAGCCUGACGGAGCAACGCCGCGUGAGUGAUGAAGGUCUUCGGAUCGUAAAACUCUGUUAUUAGGGAAGAACAAAUGUGUAAGUAACUAUGCACGUCUUGACGGUACCUAAUCAGAAAGCCACGGCUAACUACGUG